ACGGUAGACCAAACUGUCCCCUAACACAUCGCCAACACAAGACACAAGCGGAGUAAUUCAACACUGAUUUCUCUGCGAAUGAGCGAGGAACAGACGAGAUGCCAAAAACUCCAGCGAGAAGCAUUAUUGGGACUUUAGGAAAACUCACCGUGUGACUAACUGAAAGAAAGAGAGAAGACCUGAAGCGACGAGGAGGCGUAAAGAGCCGCGUGCUUGUUCUUCAUGAACUUUGCGGAGCGCUGUGACCAUGCAGCCUUUGAGCUAGUGCACGAUUAUUGUUUCCACUUAUCACCCUACUGAGUGACCAGUCUGAGAGAGGAAGCCAGUCAAAAAGGAAAGGAAGACUAAUAAAGACAGUUGUCGUUGAAAGUAAUGGUCUGAAGACAUCACUCAUAGAACAGGAUUUUCUUUCCCUUUUGCGUUGCUCUGCUGAAGGUUUCUGGAAUCACUGGGACAUUCACGAGAGCUGGAGGGACACAUCCACAUGGUCCAGCCGUAGAGUGAAAGUAGAGUUCUUCACAAUAUCCUAACAGGUGCCACGUGAUGAUGGUAGAAUCAGCAACUGAGACCAUUCGAACCACACCCUCCAAUCAAAAUGGAGUCAGCAGUCUAAGCAGCCAAUCAGACGGCGGAGGAAGAGAGGGAGGGUCCAACGGUGACACCAAUGGGGAGAUCAGCCCGGUGGAUUUACUGCACCUUCAACAGCAGCAGGCCCUCCAGGCAGCACGCCAGUUCAUCCUCCAGCAGGCCACAGGACUCAACUCCCCCAGCAGCAACGAGAUCAAACAGAGCCCUGU
Long non-coding RNA from Sinocyclocheilus grahami, 797 nucleotides. RefSeq lists it as uncharacterized. The record is from RefSeq and is a predicted model, not a curated record. Lineage: Eukaryota; Metazoa; Chordata; Actinopteri; Cypriniformes; Cyprinidae. The transcript has 3 exons.